CAAGUCCGUGUACUGAACUUCAUUUGACGGCUCUCUCACUGCGGACGGACGCAGUCACUACGCUGUUGUGUUUAGGCCAUAUCUCUUUUCAAGCGAAAUUGUGAAAUUUUCGUGUAAAAUUAUUAUCUGACGUAUCAGUGAAUUGGGAGAACGUGGUGGAAAUAGUGGGUUAAAUUAACGGCUUAAGUUGGCUUCUUCCGAAGCGAUUACUUAGACAAUCUAAAUAAUAUCAUAAUUACACUUUGCCAAUUACACUCGCUGAACUAUUUAUAGCGUGCUUCCUGGUUAUAUGGAUACCUUAGACAAGAAAACUAUCGGUAUUGGUAUAGAAAAACGCCACGCAAUACAUGUAAGAGGUGUUCAGAGCAGAAUGCAACCUUGAUUCAAUCUCAAAUCGGAACGUUCAGUUUUUGUCCCGCUUUUAUUUUCGAGUUUCACCUCCUGUGUAUAAUCUUCUUGAUGCUGGAUUAUAGUACGUGACGCAAUCUAAUGAUACGAACCCACGGUAAUAGUGCGCCUUUUGUAAGAACGUACAAGUGUUAGACGAAAAGAUUUCGACUAUGGAAAUCUCAGGGUUUUACGUAAUUGGGAGUUCAGACAUCUAAACAUUCACAUAUGUAAUCAUGGAGAAAUUGAGAUGCUGGAUAUAACAAAGAUUUAUACAGUUGAUCUAUAAAAUAUAAUGGUUUUUGUUAAAUAAGUUCUGAAUAAUGAAUUUACAGCAAGCUUUGCCUGGUUAGCUAUGGAAAAUUAGGUGAAAUCAGAGACCGCACUAAUUUGAGUAGCAACCAAUUCCGCUCCGCUUUUCAGUAGAUGACGAGCUCACGACCACUCAUCAGCUAAAACCAGUCUAGGUGCAAACCUGGCGAUUUCGAACAAUAAUUCAUAUCCUUGUCGAGUUUUGAAUUAAACAAAGUAGUGUCACCUGCAGCGGAUUUCGGUCACGGUGUUCCUCAAGGUGGAGGCGCGAUUGAAACCGACCAGCCACAAACAUUUUUUCCGGGUACUGUUCCAUUCAACUUUUGUAAUUAUAUAUGUAAACACUUAUGUAUGGUUUGGUGCAUGCAGUAAAGUGGAAAUAUUCAAUGUAAGUGCGUAUAUAUAACAUACACACCAGUAUGCGGUCAUAGAAAAUGUUUAUUUAGAAUAAGUAUAAUAUUUAUGUCUUUAAUAUGUACAUACAUAUAUCUGAAAGUUUGGAAAUUCAUACAUGAAGGAAUAUUUUGAAUUUGUAGCUAUCUGCAAAAAGAAUAAACGUGCAUAGAAAGUU
RNAcentral lists this long non-coding RNA (1270 nucleotides) under Hermetia illucens (black soldier fly). Its description in RNAcentral is "uncharacterized LOC119661399, transcript variant X1". The record is from RNAcentral. Lineage: Eukaryota; Metazoa; Arthropoda; Insecta; Diptera; Stratiomyidae.